GACGAACGCUGGCGGCGCGCCUAACACAUGCAAGUCGAACGAGAAUCAGCUGAUGAAGUUUUCGAAUGGAUUCGGCUGAGGAAAGUGGCGAACGGGCGAGUAACGCGUGAGCAACCUACCUUGUACUGGGGGAUAACGUCGGGAAACCGGCGCUAAUACCGCAUAACAUUACGAUAGCGCAUGUUAUUGUAAUCAAAGCUUUAGUGGUACGAGACGGGCUCGCGUCCAAUUAGCUAGUUGGUGAGGUAAAGGCUCACCAAGGCGACGAUUGGUAGCCGAACUGAGAGGUUGAUCGGCCGCAUUGGGACUGAGACACGGCCCAGACUCCUACGGGAGGCAGCAGUGGGGAAUAUUGCGCAAUGGGGGAAACCCUGACGCAGCGACGCCGCGUGAAGGAAGAAGGCCUUCGGGUUGUAAACUUCUUUGAUCGGGGACGAAAAUGACGGUACCCGAGGAACAAGCCACGGCUAACUACGUGCCAGCAGCCGCGGUAAUACGUAGGUGGCAAGCGUUGUCCGGAAUUACUGGGCGUAAGGGGCGUGUAGGCGGGGGGACAAGUCAGAUGUGAAAUACCGCGGCUUAACUGCGGGGGUGCAUCUGAAACUGUUCUUCUUGAGUGUCGGAGAGGACAGUGGAAUUCCCAGUGUAGCGGUGAAAUGCGUAGAGAUUGGGAGGAACACCAGUGGCGAAGGCGGCUUUCUGGACGAUAACUGACGCUGAGGCGCGAAAGCGUGGGGAGCACACAGG
RNAcentral lists this ribosomal RNA (747 nucleotides) under uncultured Thermoclostridium sp. RNAcentral's name for it is "bacterial SSU rRNA". It matches the Rfam family "Bacterial small subunit ribosomal RNA", at positions 28 to 776 of the family's 1533-position model. Lineage: Bacteria; Bacillati; Bacillota; Clostridia; Eubacteriales; Oscillospiraceae. The record is from RNAcentral.